This is a long non-coding RNA of Empidonax traillii (willow flycatcher), 459 nucleotides long. RefSeq lists it as uncharacterized. The record is from RefSeq and is a predicted model, not a curated record. Lineage: Eukaryota; Metazoa; Chordata; Aves; Passeriformes; Tyrannidae. The transcript has 2 exons.
GGACAGUUUCAGAGUUGUUGAUCUACAACCCUUUUGGAUGAAAUCAAGCCAGAAGAUGUGUUUCAGAGCUGAAUAUUUGGGGAAGAAGCUAAAAGCCUUUGUUCUCAGAGAAAUGCAAGAGCUGCAAUUACACCAAGCCUCUUAUGGAGUAUCCUGGUGGGAAGAGGGCCUUUGUGCAAUGUCCUUUUCCGCACAUCCAAGCAGAAGUUAGGCAUAAUACAUUUCACAAUGAGGAUGCUGAAUUCCCCUGCUACUUCAGCAGAACAAAUCAGGAUGCAUACUUCCAUCCUGCAUAUCAGGAUAAAAGAGAUCAGUGCUGGAGACAAGAGAGAAAUUAGGUAAACUCUCUGUAGUGAGAAAAAUGUGAUGGGGAAACCCCAUUGUCUGCUGAAGAAAAUUCACUGUUCUUUCUGUCAGAAAUUAAAUCUUAUGAUUAUCAAAUACGCUUGAUAAACAGAA